AGUGAACGCUGGCGGUAGGCCUAACACAUGCAAGUCGAACGGCAGCACAGUAAGAGCUUGCUCUUACGGGUGGCGAGUGGCGGACGGGUGAGGAAUACAUCGGAAUCUACUUUUUCGUGGGGGAUAACGUAGGGAAACUUACGCUAAUACCGCAUACGACCUACGGGUGAAAGCAGGGGAUCUUCGGACCUUGCGCGAUUGAAUGAGCCGAUGUCGGAUUAGCUAGUUGGCGGGGUAAAGGCCCACCAAGGCGACGAUCCGUAGUUGGUAUGAGAGGAUGAUCAGCCACACUGGAACUGAGACACGGUCCAGACUCCUACGGGAGGCAGCAGUGGGGAAUAUUGGACAAUGGGCGCAAGCCUGAUCCAGCCAUACCGCGUGAGUGAAGAAGGCCUUCGGGUUGUAAAGCCCUUUUGUUGGGAAAGAAAAGCAGCAGGUUAAUACCCCGCUGUUCUGACGGUACCCAAAGAAUAAGCACCGGCUAACUUCGUG
This 492-nucleotide ribosomal RNA is filed under the name uncultured bacterium. RNAcentral describes it as "partial 16S ribosomal RNA". It matches the Rfam family "Bacterial small subunit ribosomal RNA", at positions 29 to 507 of the family's 1533-position model. The record is from RNAcentral.